ACGGAGGAUGCAAGCGUUAUCCGGAUUCACUGGGUUUAAAGGGCGCGCAGGCGGAAUGAUAAGUCAGUGGUGAAAUCCUACGGCUCAACUGUAGAACUGCCAUUGAUACUGUUGCUCUUGAGUACACUUGGAGUGGACAGAAUGUGUCAUGUAGCGGUGAAAUGCUUAGAUAUGACUCAGAACACCGAUCGCGAAGGCAGCUCACUAAGUUGUAACUGACGCUCAGGCGCGAAGGCGUGGGGAUCAAACAG
RNAcentral lists this ribosomal RNA (251 nucleotides) under uncultured prokaryote. Its description in RNAcentral is "partial 16S rRNA". It matches the Rfam family "Bacterial small subunit ribosomal RNA", at positions 525 to 775 of the family's 1533-position model. The record is from RNAcentral.